GUCUUGCCUCACCAAACCAUUUUCAAAUUGAUUGACAGAGAGAUCCGUAAUGUCGUCUACGCUCGUCGCCAUCGAAAGCAUUUUGGAAACUUGAUGCAGUUCUGGAUCCGAUGAGUCGUUUUCUUGUUGUGAUUGAACUUUUGGUUUUUCACUAUAAUUGUUGUCCUGUUUUUUAUCUUUUUUUGGCUCGACAACAAAACUCUAGGCUUUACUCUUUGUAAUCCCUAAAAUGUUCAUUUUCUAAUGAUAUUUAUAGUUAUAUCAAAAAAAAAAAAAAAAAAAAAAAAAACUCAAAUGAUGUGUGCGGGAAACGAGCGUCGUCUCGUUACUCGAUGCACGAACUCGAGCCAAUAAGAUAUUUUUAAAAUUUAUAAAACUGGUUAUUUACUUAUUACUAGUAAAGAUCUUUUCUUAAUCUGUUCCUUA
Molecule: long non-coding RNA, 426 nt
Filed under: Capsella rubella
Lineage: Eukaryota; Viridiplantae; Streptophyta; Magnoliopsida; Brassicales; Brassicaceae
Description: long non-coding RNA (CRUB_LNC002866)
Source: RNAcentral